RNAcentral lists this transfer RNA (68 nucleotides) under Rattus norvegicus (Norway rat). It matches the Rfam family "tRNA". From Rfam's summary of the family: Transfer RNA (tRNA) molecules are approximately 80 nucleotides in length. Their secondary structure includes four short double-helical elements and three loops (D, anti-codon, and T loops). Further hydrogen bonds mediate the characteristic L-shaped molecular structure. tRNAs have two regions of fundamental functional importance: the anti-codon, which is responsible for specific mRNA codon recognition, and the 3' end, to which the tRNAs corresponding amino acid is attached (by aminoacyl-tRNA synthetases). tRNAs cope with the degeneracy of the genetic code in two manners: having more than one tRNA (with a specific anti-codon) for a particular amino acid; and 'wobble' base-pairing, i.e. permitting non-standard base-pairing at the 3rd anti-codon position. Lineage: Eukaryota; Metazoa; Chordata; Mammalia; Rodentia; Muridae. The record is from Rfam by way of RNAcentral.
GGGGAUUUAGCUCAGUGGUAGAGCGCUUGCCUAGGAAGCACAAGGCCCUGGGUUCGGUCCAGUCCCCA